GAUGAACGCUAGCGGCAGGCUUAAUACAUGCAAGUCGAGGGGUAACAGUAAUACUUGUAUUAGCUGACGACCGGCGCACGGGUGCGUAACGCGUAUACAACUUGCCUACAACAGAGGGAUAGCCUGAAGAAAUUUGGAUUAAUACCUCAUGGUACUAUAGAGUGGCAUCACUUAAUGGUUAAAGAUUUAUUGGUUGUAGAUGGGUAUGCGUGUGAUUAGCUAGUUGGUAAGGUAAAGGCUUACCAAGGCGACGAUCACUAGGGGUUCUGAGAGGAAGAUCCCCCACACUGGCACUGAGAUACGGGCCAGACUCCUACGGGAGGCAGCAGUAGGGAAUAUUGGUCAAUGGGGGCAACCCUGAACCAGCCAUGCCGCGUGCAGGAAGACGGCCUUCUGGGUUGUAAACUGCUUUUAUAACUGAGGAAUAUUCUCACGAGUGGGAUACAUGACGUUAGGUUAUGAAUAAGGACCGGCUAACUCCG
Molecule: ribosomal RNA, 482 nt
Filed under: uncultured Bacteroidota bacterium
Lineage: Bacteria; Pseudomonadati; Bacteroidota
Description: bacterial SSU rRNA
Rfam family: Bacterial small subunit ribosomal RNA
Source: RNAcentral